GCCUCUUUAAUUCAGAUGGUUAGAAUGUCGGUUUCAUAAGCCGAAAACGCUAGUUCGAGUCUAGCAGGAGGCA
Molecule: transfer RNA, 73 nt
Filed under: Pseudomonadota bacterium
Lineage: Bacteria; Pseudomonadati; Pseudomonadota
Description: Proteobacteria bacterium (activated sludge metagenome) tRNA-Met
Rfam family: tRNA
About the family: Transfer RNA (tRNA) molecules are approximately 80 nucleotides in length. Their secondary structure includes four short double-helical elements and three loops (D, anti-codon, and T loops).
Source: RNAcentral